GUUUUUUCCUAAUUCUAUUCAAAUCCUCAUGUAAUCCAUCUAAUAGGAAAGCUAACAGUUCUUGACAGUCUUGCUGCUGAUAUCCAGAGAACUGAGGUGCAAAACGUCCUACCUGUGUCUUAAAGGCUCUUGGGGUGACGUAGCUAAACUUUCCAGACCACAUUUGCUUGAUCAGUUCGGCAUAAGAUUUAGCUAUUUCACCUCUCAUUCCUAAGGGAUUGUCAAAAUUCAGUUCUUC
Molecule: long non-coding RNA, 238 nt
Filed under: Homo sapiens (human)
Lineage: Eukaryota; Metazoa; Chordata; Mammalia; Primates; Hominidae
Description: LNC_000933
Source: RNAcentral